UACGUAGGCAGCGAGCGUUGUUCGGAUUUACUGGGCGUAAAGAGUGCGUAGGCGGUUUUCUAAGUUUGGUGUGAAAUCUCCCGGCUUAACUGGGAGGGUGCGCCGAAGACUGGAAGGCUUGAGUAUGGGAGAGGUAAGCGGAAUUCCUGGUGUAGCGGUGAAAUGCGUAGAUAUCAGGAGGAACACCUGCGGUGUAGACGGCUUACUGGACCAUCACUGACGCUGAGGCGCGAAAGCUCGGGGAGCGAACGGG
RNAcentral lists this ribosomal RNA (253 nucleotides) under uncultured bacterium. RNAcentral describes it as "partial 16S ribosomal RNA". It matches the Rfam family "Bacterial small subunit ribosomal RNA", at positions 524 to 776 of the family's 1533-position model. The record is from RNAcentral.